GCCACUCUCACAAACGUCUACAACCGCACCUACAUAUUUUGGCAUGUUUACAAUUCUAAUUUUGAACAGCCGAUCCGGUUCUUGGUAACAAUUACAAUUAAACGUCGAUUGACUGUUUAGAACUGUAAACAUACAAAAAUAUGUAGGUGCGGUCGUAGACGUGCGUGGGAGUGAC
Non-coding RNA from Paramuricea clavata, 175 nucleotides. The record is from the annotation of a GenBank genome assembly. Lineage: Eukaryota; Metazoa; Cnidaria; Anthozoa; Malacalcyonacea; Plexauridae.